RNAcentral lists this long non-coding RNA (251 nucleotides) under Capra hircus (goat). RNAcentral describes it as "lncRNA (ENSCHIG00000006060.1)". Lineage: Eukaryota; Metazoa; Chordata; Mammalia; Artiodactyla; Bovidae. The record is from RNAcentral.
CUGCACACUGCCCGAGCGGCGUCAGGCGCAGCCAUUUUUCAGGAGGAACUCUUGGUCUGAAGGGCCUGUUUGAGGCCACUGCAUGGAACACCCUUGAGCAAGUGAAACUAGAUUAAUCACAAAGGACAAGAAGGCUGUCUCCAUAGCAGUGUCCAAAGAGCACCUUGGUAUGUGUGGGAGUGUGAUCCAGCCAAGCCCUUUGGAGGCACAGGGAGGCUUGAGAGGAACUGCUGUUACCUGCUGAAUCACCC